This 393-nucleotide long non-coding RNA is filed under the name Anser brachyrhynchus (Pink-footed goose). RNAcentral's name for it is "lncRNA (ENSABRG00000023001.1)". The record is from RNAcentral. Lineage: Eukaryota; Metazoa; Chordata; Aves; Anseriformes; Anatidae.
UGUAUUUAAAAUUUCAAAACUUUUUUUUUUCUUUCUUCCAUUUGCAGUAUUUGCUGUCUCUUUUAGAAGUCCCAGCAGAACACAUAUGUUAACAGAAAAUGGAUGAAUGAGUACCCUCUAGAGGCAGAGUUCAGCUGGGGAAAAUUCCAAGGUAUGGAGAAGAAGUAUCAGAGAACAUAAACAAGGCUUCUGUGAGGAGAAGAGAGUUGGGAUUACUCAAGACUCACAUAAAUACAAACAGGAACAAAAGAGGAAAAGAAUUACAGCUUGCAUUAAGUGUAGAAAACCUGCAAGAUGGGCAGAACUCUGACUUUAAAAUGUUACAAACUUCCUAGUAAGUAUGCCAACUGCUUACAGUGUUGAAGCUUUAAUUUCAUUGUGUGAUAAAGGAAC